GGCUGAAGAUGAUUCAUGUCCUGUCUGUUCAUAUCCAUGCCAAAACGGAGCUCGUGGGCCUUUCGUGUCCAGGUGAAAUUCGCGACAUACUGAAACUGAUAGUCGUCGCGAAGAUAGGGCAUGAACUGCUCCUGCACACCCAGCUCUUCAUAGCCGGCAAUCUCGAAGGCCGGCCAGUCGCCCUGCCAUUCCGCGGGUCCGUUAGUC
Molecule: unclassified non-coding RNA, 207 nt
Filed under: uncultured bacterium
Lineage: Bacteria
Description: contains 16S-23S intergenic spacer region
Source: RNAcentral